AACGAACGCUGGCGGCAUGCCAAACACAUGCAAGUCGAACGAGACCUUCGGGUCUAGUGGCGCACGGGUGCGUAACGCGUGGGAACCUGCCCUUAGGUUCGGAAUAACUCCCCGAAAGGGGUGCUAAUACCGGAUAAUGUCUUCGGACCAAAGAUUUAUCGCCUUUGGAUGGGCCCGCGUUGGAUUAGCUAGUUGGUAGGGUAAAAGCCUACCAAGGCGACGAUCCAUAGCUGGUCUGAGAGGAUGAUCAGCCACACUGGGACUGAGACACGGCCCAGACUCCUACGGGAGGCAGCAGUGGGGAAUAUUGGACAAUGGGCGAAAGCCUGAUCCAGCAAUGCCGCGUGAGUGAUGAAGGCCUUAGGGUUGUAAAGCUCUUUUACCCGGGAUGAUAAUGACAGUACCGGGAGAAUAAGCUCCGGCUAACUCCGUG
RNAcentral lists this ribosomal RNA (433 nucleotides) under uncultured bacterium. RNAcentral describes it as "partial 16S ribosomal RNA". It matches the Rfam family "Bacterial small subunit ribosomal RNA", at positions 29 to 507 of the family's 1533-position model. The record is from RNAcentral.